UAGGGAAUAUUAGAAAUGGACGAAAGUCUGAUCUAGCAACACCGCGUGUGCGAAGAAGGCCUUCGGGUCGUAAACCUCUUUUCUGAGGGAAGAGACAAGGACGGUACCUCAGGAAUAAGUCUCGGCUAACUACGUGCCAGCAGCCGCGGUAAAACGUAGGAGGCGAGCGUUAUCCGGAAUUACUGGGCGUAAAGCGCGUGUAGGUGGUUUGGUAAGUAGAGCGUGAAAGCUCCUGGCUCAACUGGGAGAGGUCGUUCUAAACUGCCGGACUAGAGGAUGGUAGAGGGAGGUGGAAUUCCGGGUGUAGCGGUGGAAUGCGCAGAUAUCCGGAGGAACACCAGUGGCGAAGGCGGCCUCCUGGACCAUUCCUGACACUCAGACGCGAAAGCUAGGGUAGCAAACG
This 403-nucleotide ribosomal RNA is filed under the name uncultured prokaryote. RNAcentral's name for it is "bacterial SSU rRNA". It matches the Rfam family "Bacterial small subunit ribosomal RNA", at positions 355 to 774 of the family's 1533-position model. The record is from RNAcentral.